GUUUGAAGAAGAAAUCUUUAAUUGAUUUGUAAAAUCUUGACAUUUGUUUUGUGUAAAAAAAAAACAUGUAAUGUCAAAAAUUUGAUCACAAUCCAAAUUCAGAGCUGUAUCACGCUUGAAUGUUUUGUCCAUACUUGCCCCAACUGUUCAGGGUUCGACCUCUGCGGUCGUAUAAAGCUGCGCCCUGCGGAGCACCUGGUUGGUCCUGUUUUCAAAUUGGUCUACACUAAAGUCCAAAGGGUCCAAAAUUAAAC
RNAcentral lists this long non-coding RNA (254 nucleotides) under Mytilus galloprovincialis (Mediterranean mussel). The record is from RNAcentral. Lineage: Eukaryota; Metazoa; Mollusca; Bivalvia; Mytilida; Mytilidae.